Molecule: ribosomal RNA, 253 nt
Filed under: uncultured bacterium
Lineage: Bacteria
Description: partial 16S ribosomal RNA
Rfam family: Bacterial small subunit ribosomal RNA
Source: RNAcentral
GACGGGGGGAGCAAGCGUUGUUCGGAAUCACUGGGCGUAAAGGGCGUGUAGGCGGUCAAGUAAGUGGGAUGUGAAAUGCUCCGGCUCACCCGGAGCCCUGCAUCCCAAACUGCCUGGCUUGAGUAUGGGAGAGGAUGAGGGAAUUCCUGGUGUAGCGGUGAAAUGCGUAGAUAUCAGGAGGAACACCGGUGGCGAAAGCGCUCAUCUGGCCCAAUACUGACGCUGAUGCGCGAAAGCUAGGGGAGCAAACGGG